Molecule: non-coding RNA, 74 nt
Organism: Candidatus Peribacteria bacterium
Lineage: Bacteria; Candidatus Peregrinibacteriota; Candidatus Peribacteria
Source: Rfam
CGGGGCGUAGCUCAGUUGGCUAGAGCGCCUGGUUUGGGACCAGGAGGCCGCGAGUUCAAGUCCCGCCGCCCCGA